Molecule: ribosomal RNA, 1011 nt
Filed under: Purpureocillium takamizusanense
Lineage: Eukaryota; Fungi; Ascomycota; Sordariomycetes; Hypocreales; Ophiocordycipitaceae
Description: SSU rRNA
Rfam family: Eukaryotic small subunit ribosomal RNA
Source: RNAcentral
AAACUGCGAAUGGCUCAUUAUAUAAGUUAUCGUUUAUUUGAUAGCACCUUACUACUUGGAUAACCGUGGUAAUUCUAGAGCUAAUACAUGCUAAAAAUCCCGACUCCGGAAGGGAUGUAUUUAUUAGAUUAAAAACCAAUGCCCUCUGGGCUCUCUGGUGAUUCAUGAUAACUUCUCGAAUCGCAUGGCCUUGCGCCGGCGAUGGUUCAUUCAAAUUUCUUCCCUAUCAACUUUCGAUGUUUGGGUAGUGGCCAAACAUGGUUGCAACGGGUAACGGAGGGUUAGGGCUCGACCCCGGAGAAGGAGCCUGAGAAACGGCUACUACAUCCAAGGAAGGCAGCAGGCGCGCAAAUUACCCAAUCCCGACACGGGGAGGUAGUGACAAUAAAUACUGAUACAGGGCUCUUUUGGGUCUUGUAAUUGGAAUGAGUACAAUUUAAAUCCCUUAACGAGGAACAAUUGGAGGGCAAGUCUGGUGCCAGCAGCCGCGGUAAUUCCAGCUCCAAUAGCGUAUAUUAAAGUUGUUGUGGUUAAAAAGCUCGUAGUUGAACCUUGGGCCUGGCUGGCCGGUCCGCCUCACCGCGUGCACUGGUCCGGCCGGGCCUUUCCCUCUGUGGAACCCCAUGCCCUUCACUGGGUGUGGCGGGGAAACAGGACUUUUACUUUGAAAAAAUUAGAGUGCUCCAGGCAGGCCUAUGCUCGAAUACAUUAGCAUGGAAUAAUGAAAUAGGACGUGCGGUUCUAUUUUGUUGGUUUCUAGGACCGCCGUAAUGAUUAAUAGGGACAGUCGGGGGCAUCAGUAUUCAAUUGUCAGAGGUGAAAUUCUUGGAUUUAUUGAAGACUAACUACUGCGAAAGCAUUUGCCAAGGAUGUUUUCAUUAAUCAGGAACGAAAGUUAGGGGAUCGAAGACGAUCAGAUACCGUCGUAGUCUUAACCAUAAACUAUGCCGACUAGGGAUCGGACGAUGUUAUUUUUUGACUCGUUCGGCACCUUACGAGAAAUCAAAGUGC